RNAcentral lists this non-coding RNA (32 nucleotides) under Homo sapiens (human). The record is from RNAcentral. Lineage: Eukaryota; Metazoa; Chordata; Mammalia; Primates; Hominidae.
GACCCCAGCACCCUCCAGUGCAGUCCUAUGAC